Non-coding RNA from Mycena belliarum, 95 nucleotides. Lineage: Eukaryota; Fungi; Basidiomycota; Agaricomycetes; Agaricales; Mycenaceae. The record is from the annotation of a GenBank genome assembly.
GGGCGUAUGGUGUAGUGGUAUCACUCAUGCUUUGCAAUCGAACGAUCAAUCCGACUAUCUGUAUGCGGUCCAGGGUUCAAACCCCUGUGCGUCCA